ACGCUCGACACCUACGGAGGCAGCAGUGGGGAAUAUUGCACAAUGGGGGAAACCCUGAUGCAGCGACGCCGCGUGAAGGAAGAAGUAUCUCGGUAUGUAAACUUCUAUCAGCAGGGAAGAAAAUGACGGUACCUGACUAAGAAGCCCCGGCUAACUACGUACCACGCAGCCGCGGUAAUCUGAGCGGGCUGGCAAGGC
Molecule: ribosomal RNA, 198 nt
Filed under: uncultured bacterium
Lineage: Bacteria
Description: partial 16S ribosomal RNA
Rfam family: Bacterial small subunit ribosomal RNA
Source: RNAcentral